AUGAACUUACAAAAUUAAACUCAGCCUUCAAAUGAAUCCCUCGGCCUCCGAAACUCAGUCUUUCUCUGUCUCUCAACUCAAUCUUAACUCAACUCAGGAAAAAAAAAAGCAUAAGGAGGAGAGCGAGAGAGAAGGGAAGAAUAGGGAAAAAAAAUUAUGGAGUGGGUUUUUAUGUUUUGCUGUUUUGGAUUGUGAUGAAGCAAGAGAGAAGAGGGAAGAGGAAGCAACGAAAGAGACGGAGAGAUAGAAGAAGAAAAAAAAAAGCAGAUAGAGGAGAGCGAGAGAGAGAAGGGAAGAAGAGGGAAAAAAGGUAUGGAGUGGGUCUUUAUGUUUUACUGUUUUGGAUUGUAGUGGAGGAGAGAGAAGAAGGAAGAGGAAGAAGAGAAAGAGAGGGAGAGAGACUGAGAGAUAGAAGAAGAAAGGGAGAGAGAGAGUGUGUGUGUGUGUGUGUGUGUGAAACGGAAGAGGAAGAAGAGGAAUAAAUAAAUAAAAUAAAAAGGGAGAGAUGGGUGAAUGCCCAAAAGAGAGAGAGAAGGCAGGUUGUGUGUAUCUGCAGCCUUGGGAAGUUCAG
RNAcentral lists this long non-coding RNA (571 nucleotides) under Prunus persica (peach). RNAcentral's name for it is "long non-coding RNA (PPER_LNC001164)". Lineage: Eukaryota; Viridiplantae; Streptophyta; Magnoliopsida; Rosales; Rosaceae. The record is from RNAcentral.